GCCAGUGUGGUGAAAUUGGCAAACACAACAGACUUAAAAUCUGUCGCCCGUUUGGGCUUGUCGGUUCGAGUCCGACCACUGGUACCA
This 87-nucleotide transfer RNA is filed under the name Verrucomicrobiota bacterium. RNAcentral describes it as "tRNA-Leu". It matches the Rfam family "tRNA". Rfam says of the family: Transfer RNA (tRNA) molecules are approximately 80 nucleotides in length. Their secondary structure includes four short double-helical elements and three loops (D, anti-codon, and T loops). The record is from RNAcentral. Lineage: Bacteria; Pseudomonadati; Verrucomicrobiota.